RNAcentral lists this long non-coding RNA (44274 nucleotides) under Sorghum bicolor (sorghum). Its description in RNAcentral is "long non-coding RNA (SBIC_LNC007590)". Lineage: Eukaryota; Viridiplantae; Streptophyta; Magnoliopsida; Poales; Poaceae. The record is from RNAcentral.
GAAUGAAGAUCAGAGAUUUUCUUUUUACUGUAAACAGGAGGGGUUUCCCCCUGCUGUGUAUUUAUUUAUUAAGAAAAUGCGAACCAGCUUACAUAAAAGUUCAAGAGACAAAAAAAGGGAAAGAAAGUAAACAAAUAAGCAAAAAUUACAAGAUGGCUUCUAGCCAUUGUUGUAUGGAAGGAAAGUAUAUGUUAUAUGGAUGUAAAUAAGUACUUCUUUGCUCUGUGAAUAACCAGAGCAAACUCCAAUGCCAUAUAUAUUACACAUACAUGAUAGCCGGAGCUUGCAUUCACAUAUAUGUUCCUCACCCAACGCUAGUUGCAGUAGUUUUUUCUAGCAGGUAUAUGUAGGGGGAGAGAUCGAUCGAGAUGGAUGAUGCCAACAAUGGAUACAUCAGCAGCAUAUAUAGAAGCAAAGGAACCAACAGCAGCAAAAGGUGAAAAAAAGAAGAAGAAAGAAACCAAGGUGUGUGUGUGACCCCAAGGAUGCAAAACCGAACGAACAGGUUGAGAGGCAGCAGCAGGCAGCCAUAUGCCAUUAGCUCACGCAGGAGCUAGCUAGCAGUUUAAUCACUCGCUGCCCGCGGGCUUGUAGGCGAUGAAGCUGACGCACUGCGUCUGCUUGAUGUUGUCGAAGCCGAGGAUCCGGACGUAGGCGUCCGGGUAGGAGGCGAUGGCCUCCUGCAGCUCCUUGUAGACCUGCGACGCGUCGGUGCAGCCGAACAUGGGCAGCUUCCACAUGGUCCAGUAGCGGCCGUCGUAGUAGCACGGGGAGGUGGAGUUCUCGCGGUACACGAAGCCUUCCUUGCUGAACUCGAGGCAGGGCACCCAGUUGUUGCGCAGCAGGUAGUCCACCUGCUUCAGCAGCUGCUCCUCCGUCAGCGGCGGCAGGUACGACAGCGUCUCGAACUUCUUGUUCCCGUACGCCGGCCACACCUGCAAAUUAAUGCAUGCAUCGAUCGAUGUACGUGUUUGUGGUUGCAUUUCGCUAGCUCUGCUGCAAAGAAUGAAUGAAGAUGGCCGGCCGGAGCCAAGAACGAAAGGCCAACUAGCUCUUGUGUUAAUUAUGUUGUUAUUACCUGCAUGCACCGGAUCCUGCCGCCGUUGCUGACUUUGGCGAGGCUGGUGGUGGAGCGGCGGGCGACGGGGAGGGUGGCGGUGGACUUGAGACCCUGGAACGGAGCGACGGCGGUGGCGGACGAGGCCAUCACGGUGGGCGCCAUUGCUGCUGCUAUGUAGUACUAGUAGCUAGUGAGGGAGCGAGCUGAGAGUGAGCUGCUUGCUGUUUUUGCUGCUUCUUGCUGCUUGGGUCGUCCUGUAGGCUCCCCCACCGAGGGCAUAUAUAGAAGAGGCAGCGAGCGUGCGUCCAUGGCGACGGAUGGCUGUCGUUGGGGCAAGGACGGAUCGGACGAAUGAAGCGGAUGUGGGAGGAGUGGCCACCGUUGUCCCAUGGCGGGCAACCCGGCCAGCCUGGCCUAUCCUGAUCGCGUCCGCCGCCACAUGUCGCGUCCCCGUGGCGCGCCUUAUCGUCUCAGCCAGCCAACAUGUCCAUGGAGCCACGCCACGCCACGCCAUGGUUGGACUAUAUGUGAUGUGCCACCACUUUAAUUAUUUGUAGAUAGAUAGAUAGAUAGAUAAGCUAGCCGCAGGUAGUAGUGCAGUGGUGAAAGUCACUACUACUGACUGCAAACCAAAAUUUCCCUGGCCGUGCCCGGACUCGCUCGCUGUCUCCGAUUAAACCUAGGUAUAUGUUGAGCAGGACGUCCCCUGGCCGUCGCCAUGGCCGGACUCGCUCGAUCUCUAGGAUCCGAGGUGGUCCUGCUCUGCUCCGUCGUCGGCGAAGAUGAAGACACACCCACUCGUCGUCCCCUUCCUCAUGCAAAUCUGCGCCGCACAAGCUGUUUCCAAAAUUUCGCUGGCCGUGGCCGGACUCGCUCGCUAUCUAUCUCCGGUCUCCCGUCGCCGAUCAAACCGAUCGAGCAGGACGUCGCCGCCGUGGCCGGACUCGCCCUCUAGCUCGUCGUCCACGAUCGAGCCAGGAUCCGGCCGAGGUGGUCGUGGUCCUGCUGCUCGGUCGGUGAAUGACUGACUCGUCCCCUUCCUCCUGCUGCAAAUCUCCGCCGGACGCAUGCAUCCGCCGUCUCUCUCAAGCAGAAGCAGUUCCAUUCAGCUCGAUCGUCGUGGUUUGUGAAAGGAUAAGUGAAGAACGACGACAAUGGAAGGGGAAAAAAAGACAAACAGUUUUGGGCUUGGGCUUGCUUCGGCUGCGUCUGCUUGCUCUUCGCCUCUAGUGCUCUCGUCCCUCUCACAUGUUCUACUACAUUCUACACGGACGGCUGCUCCGGACCACCUGAUGAUGCACUGAUGAUCACGGCCUGUUUGGAUCUAUAGAAUUAAUUGGGCUGAAUUUGGAAUCAGUUUCAUGGGUCUCGGCUAGUUUGGCUGCGCAUUGAACUGGAAAGUGACAUUCCAAGCUGUUCCAGAGCCUGAAUUUGUGGCCUAGCUACCUCAAAUUCAUGGGCUAUCCAAGACAAAACGAGUCCGCCUCCUCAUUGUCUUCAUCGGGCGUACGACGCUUCAUUCCUCAACCAUUUGACCUGUUCUAUAUUUCUAAAAAGAAAAGCCGCCCGCCUUGACCAUUACGAAAAAUACAUAAACGAUUCGCUAAAGUUGCAUUUAAAUUCCCCACGUUUGUCAUUUCUAAAGAUAAAUUUAAAAAGCCUUCUAAAUUGCAAUUAAUUACCGAAACAUGCCUAAAAAUGCGUCUGCAUUUUUUUUUACUAUGAAAGGUACUAGACACAUAUUCACGCAUUGCCGCGGGAUUUUCUUAAAAAUAAUCUGUUUUGUAUAUAGCAAUGCUAUAUGGUAUUCUGUAUAUUGUGUGUAUAUUUAUGAAUUUGACUUGCAUGUUAUUUUAUUGUAUCGGAUCUAGUAAAAAAACAAUAAGCUAAUAGAAAAAACCAAUAAAAUAGUUGAUUGCGUUAUACAAGAAUAGGUGAUGAAACAAAUAACAUAUGUAAAUAACUUUACAUCUACAUAAUAGAGAUGAUGAGGAUAUUUUUUGUAAUUAAUAAGGGAUGACAUUUACGUUAAUAGGUUAGAGAUUAAAAGUAUUGCACAUAAUAAAGAUGAUGUGAAUAUAUUUUAUAAUUAAUAAGAGAUAUUGUGUAAUUCGAAAAAAAGGAUGCAUGACAUGGAUAGCUUGCAUGAAAGGAUUGCAAGUUAGUGGGACACUUAUGGGGUGUUUGAAUCUUGGGACUAAAGUUUAGUCCUUGUCAUAUGUUGGGUACUAAUUAGUAGAAUUAGACAUGAGCUAAUUAUAAAACUAAUUACAUAAGUUGUGGCUAAUUCACAAGAAAAAUCUAUUAAGCCUAAUUAAUCCAUUGUUAACACAUGUUUACUGUAGCACCACAUUGUAAAAUCAUACACUAAUUAGGCUUAAUAGAUUCGUCUCAUAAAUUAGCUACAAUCUAUGUAAUGAGUUUUGUAACUAGUGUAUAUUUAAUAAUACUCUAAAUUAGUAUACAAACAUCCAAUGUGAUAGAAACUAAAGUGAGGGAUGAUAUUAACACCUUGCAUUCAGAGAGAAAACAUCUAGUCGGGUCCAGCUUUAUAAAAGUAUAUAGAUUACAAAGUAACACUAAAUGUGCCUUUUUAGAUUACAUAUAUCUAAACAAUGUAAAUACGCCACAAAUGUUUGUCUUACCUAUAAUAUAUAUUGUACAAAAUAAUUCAGUAACCAUAAAAAUAUGCUAUAUAUAUUUCUAUACACAUUCUACCAUUGUAAAAUUAAAAGUAAGCAUUAAUGCUACGGGUCAUCAUGUAGACAAAGUAAACAUGCUAUUGAUACGAUAAACAAUUUACAAUGAGUCAUCUAGCCAUUUUUCUGGCUAGGAACUCAACGAAAUGGGCAAAACAGCUAUUUAAAUGGGCGUCAAUGGUCGAAUAAACAGAAAUGACAGACCACCAUGCAAUGUUCAAAUGAGGUUUAAGCAGGCUAAGUGAUGGUUUACUCGAACCAUGGUACAAACAUAGCAAAAAACAAAAAAAAACAUUACAACAAGCAUUAGAAAAAACAUAUAGCUUGUUUCUACUGUCCCACCGCAAAAACCACCUAAAGCUAUGAUUAAGCUUUUCAAAAUUUAGGGAUUUUUUUGUAAAUAAAACUGACCCUGUAAAUAUUUUUCAAAACCAAGAACUAAAAUGUUGUAGUUCUUACCUCCAAAUAAUUACAGAAAAGCUUAGAGGUCUUUUUUGUAAAAUUGUCAUUUUCAAAAUGAUUUUAAAUCUAAAAAUGUUAUGACAUAAUCAAUUGGAUUAAUGACAUUAGCAUAUAUUUUUGAAAUGAAUUAAUCAUUUCAUAAGAGAAAUAAUUUGGUUAGGGACUUGUUUGUAAAUAACCUUAGAUAUCUAGAUGGCAAUAGCUCCGCCGGUCUUUUGCCAAAAUAGUGCUUUGGCGGUUGUGAUCAUCAGCAAGCGAUAGAGAUAGCUGAGCAAGCCACGAUGAACAAGGGGAGGUUACCUUUAUAAUGAAGAGGCACAAGAGGAGGAGAUAGGGAGGGUGGUUAGCACCUCUGCUUGAGGUUGGCGGCGGCACAACUGCACAACGAUAGAGGCUGGGCAAUGGGUGGCACACUAGAGUGAGAUUGCUCGGGUGGAGGAAUCUUAUAUAUGGUGGUGGUGGAAUUUCUUGAGGACGCCGGAGAUGGGAGAAAAAGGUUGCUGAAGUCUUGCUAGAAAAAUCGCUAGCAAAAAGUCUUGUUUUAGAUCUAUAGAGUUUUUGGUGAUGCCUCAAGAAAUGGAUUCUAGAUCUGUGAUCAUCGCGAUGAGGACAAAAGGUUCUAGGAAAAGUACUAGAGAUAGAAGGAUGAGAAACUAAGAUUUUAGAGAUCAUUAGAAGUUUUGUUUCAAAGCUUAAAAUUUUAAAAUAUUAGUCUUAAUGGUAGGAGGAAUUGAUAAAUAUUACUCAAGUUAAGUCCUUCUACCCCGGUAUGUAUUCUACCACUGGAUUUUAACUUAUUUGGUUGAUUGCUCUCCCCACCGGACACGUCAGCCUAUACCCUUUCAUGUAGAGAAACACUAGUGUUUGCUAAAGGAAUAUUGAUAUGGAAACUUUUUUUCACCGUUUUACAUACCCGACGAAACACACACCCACGCACCCCAUGACCCAUGAGCCCGCCAUGGCCAACGGCCCAUAAGUGUCGCCGUUGUUGAUAAAGACGAGCUCGCUGGUGUUAGGGUUCUAGGUUUAGGGGACUCCAUGUCCGGCGGCCUUACAAAGGGAAGGGAGCUAGCGGUGGCGGCUAGCCUUGCGGUGGUAGCGGGUUGAUGUAGCAAGCAAGGUGGUGGGGGUGUUAUCGAUCGGAAGGUGGGAGACAACCGGUUGGCGGGGGCGAAGGUCAAGUGUCUUCCUCCUCGUGCUAAGAUUAGCGGAGGGUGAGGUGGUGUGAUGGGGCGGGCCAGCCGCGGCGGAGGCGCCACUGGCCGAGGCGGUGGGCGUGGAACUGUGGAAGGUGGAGGUGGGGUGUGAGCAGGGUUUAGAAAGAUGACGAGGUUGGAGCGGAGGUUAACGAAGAAUAACACAGGACGGGAUGGGGUAGCGCGUGAACCCGUCACGCAUUAACGUGGUCCCUUCAACAUGAGGAGCAGAUCGAGCGCCCAUCACGGCGUGGAUGCGCUCGGCUGUCUUGCACUCUCGCCGUCGCUGUCGUCGUUUGUCCGACGCCCUGAAUAGUAAAUCCUUCCCGGGUUAAACUAAUCGACUCGCCAUCUCCGUUCUCCCGUCGUCCCCGAUUAAACCGAGGUAUAUAUUGUGACUUACAGGACGUGGUGGGCGUGUCCGUGGCCGGACUCGCUCGCUAGCUGCUCGAUCGUGCACGAGCCAGGAUCCGACGAGGUGGUCCUGCUCCGUCGGUGAAGACUCCUCUACUCGUCCCCUUCCUCGUGCAAACCUGCGCCGCACAAGCUCAGCCGUAAGCUGCUCAGGCUGCCGUAAGACGCCGCAUGCAUCCGCCGUCUCUAUCAACUCUCAACCAGAUAGGCUCGUCGUCGUUUGUGAAAGGAUAUAAGUUAAGGACGCCAUGGGCAAAGGACAAAGGAAAUUAAAAGAUAUUUAUUUCAGUUUUGGGCCUUGGACGUACUUUCAGCUGCGUCUGCUUGCUAUUGUAGUCUGGCCUCUCUCACCUGUGGUGUGGGUGCCGCUUGUCGUGACUAUCGAUCUUCCUUGAUAUUGCUAAUUGGCACGACUCAAGCAGAAGAACAAGACAAAAAAAAGUUCACACACAACUUCCUUGUCGUGAUUAUCUUCAUUAAUAUUGCUACUUGGAGGCUUCUCAGUAUAUCUACGUCAAUCCUUAUGAGAUGCGGAAGGAAAAUUGACAAAUCGUGUAGGCAGUUUCAUAAAAAAAAAUCAGAAACAUCUAGCUUUUAAUUUUGUAGAUUUCAAUCAUCGCCACUAGUAAUACACCGUUCGACCUAUUCUCUUUUUCUAAAAAAAAUACCCAUCCGCCUCGACCAUUACGAAAAAUACAUAAACUAUUCCCUAAAGAUGCAUUUAAAUUUCCCAUUUCUCAUUAUGAAAGCUAAAUUUAAAAAAACCUCCUCACAUCGUAUUAUUUAAUUAACGAGACAUGCCGUUAACACUAAGUUUGCAUUUAUAUUACACACAUCUACCAUUAUAAAAAACAAUGUAAAUUCGCUAUUGUCCUACUUAUGCAUCUACACAAUUAACUAAAUAUCCUUCAAAUGUUUGACGUAAUACCAAUAUAAUCCAUUAUAGAAAACAAUCCAAUAACCAUAAAAAUGUCCUAUAUAGAUUUCUAAAUUACACAUUCCUUCUACCAUUGUAAAAUUAAAAGCUAGCAUUAACGUUGUGUUUCACCAUGUAGACAAGGUAAACAUGCUAUUUUAAUAGUUUAUCACUUAUGAAAAAUGUUCCCUAACCGAGAACAUACCAAUGACAUAGACACAAUUCACUUUAAGUUAUAUUAAUAUUUCAUGAUAACACUUUUUGUAGGUUUAAUCAGUUUAUAAAUGUAAAUGAAAUAUUAUCACUUAUAAAUACGUUAAUUUAAUUUAUGCUAUCUAUGUUUUCAUAAUACAAUAAUAUUACUACACUAUACAAUUCUUAUUUGUAGUAAAAAGAUUCAACAUCUUUAGGGUCGUGGCGCAGGUUAAAACAAUUUUUUAUGUUAUUGUAGUAACUAAGAGCCUAGUUAAGGCUGCAGAAUCUAUUUUUGAUUAAAAUAUAAAAUAUAAGAUUGAUAUUUUGAAUAAAAGAUACAAUAAGCACUAGACUCAACUUAACACGUGGAUAAGACAAUUGCAACAACUAAUAAAUCAGAAGUGAAAGUCAAAAUAGAUAUGAAGUCGCAAAAAUGUAUGUGACAAGAGCUAAUAUAACUGAAAUUUAGGAUUUAGCUAAAUACACAUUAAAGGCCCACAGAGGUGUAAUGCAGAUGAUGAAAACACAUAUAGACUUACUGGUAAAUUUUGACAAUCGGAUUAUGAUUCUAGAGUAUCUAAAGGUUUUGUGUUUGUAAGAUGAAUUCAGUGAAUAUAGAGAGUAAAGAUCAUCAUUUUGUUUAGGUUUUAUGUAGACUAUUUGUUUAGAUUUAGUAUAACACAGACACUUACAACCACACACACUAACCCCUAUAAACACACACAUGCAAACCCUAGACCUAUGAGGUACCUUCUAAGACGGGACCGACAAAUCCUCGAGACGAGAUUGAUGAAGUCACCACAAACGCUUUAUUGUCAAUGUGAACAUCAUCUACCACUGAAAUCAUAAAGUCGUUAAAUCCUAGAAUAUUCGCUCCUACGGGGAGUCAAACUUAGGACCUCAGGUGCUAUUGAGGUUCUGUGACCACUAGGCUACAUGCACUAAUUUACACAUAGAACUUCAAAUACAUCCCUAAAUACGAGAAAAUUGUAGAAAUCAUCUGUGUAGCAGUGCAACUUGGUGAUGCAAGCUUUUGUAUAUGAAAAAUAGGAGAAGAGAACAUUGCUGUAUGUAAAUGGAUUUCAGUUAUGCUUUUUUCUUGUGUUAAUAUUCUUAAUAAACAUAUUCUGUCCUGUGCAUGAAAAACAGAGGUUGGCAGCGCAAGGGGGAGAAAACAGAAUGAGAAGAAAGAGGCUCUGAUCCUAACCAUUGCUGGUUGUUCCUUGGAUGGCUGAGAGAUGCUGCUAGUGCUACUACUGCUUAAUUAUGUGCAGUAGCAGCACCCGAUCUUGAUCGCUCACAGUGGUGAGCCAGUCUUUAUUGGGUCUUGUUUAGUUCCGAAAAGUGAAAAGUUUUCGGUAUUGUAGCACUUUCGUUUGUUUGUGACAAAUAUUAUUUAAUCAUGGACUAACUAGGAUCAAAAGAUUCGUCUCGUGAUUUACAGCUAAACUGUGUAAUUAGUUUUUGUUUUAAUCUAUACUUAAAUGUUUCAUGCAUGUGCCACAAGAUUCGAUAUUACGGAGAAUCUUAAAAACUUUUUGAUUUUCAGGGUGAACUAAACAAGACCUUGGUCUAUAUAGACCAUUUUUCCUUUAUAUUGUGGCUGCCCUAUGUGCCUCAUGCAGUCAUGCAGGUCUCUCGAACUGUCACCUAUCUGACCGGGUAACAGUUUGUCUCCCUAGAGAAGCAAAGCCUUGAUCAAUUCCAAUGAAAGUCGUCGGUCCGGAACCCAAGAAAAUUAAGUUAUAGUGUUUGCAGUUCAGGCAGACAUGCAUGCACAACAAUCAAUUGAGCCUGCAGAAGGCAGGCAUGGAAAUGCAAAACCAUAGGCUGCUAUAUAUCCAGCGCCAGCUAGCCCAUGCAUGGUACGUGUGUACGUGCAUCAUCCAUGGCACCAAAUUAAACAGGUAGCCCCCGUCUCGCCUCUAAAUUUUGCAGGGGAAGCAGCAUUGUAGCAAACCCUACUGCCUCGGAUUUAUAUAUUCCUAGAACAAUUUCAUUUAUUGGUCCUGGGUAAGCCAUUUUUCAGUGUCAACAAUACGAAGCUAUAGGCUCAAAAAGUCAAAUAUAUAUUUGCAACAUAAGGUUAACAUUACUGCUAGAUGGACCAUCACAAAAGUACUUUUCAUAAUAUUUACAGAAAAUAUAUCAUGGAGUAAUAUAACUCUAUUUAAGAUAAUAUAUUGUUUGGGAUGUCAUAUGCGAGCAUGGACUAUUACUUUGUAGAUCUGUGUGUUCUCCUAAGGUUGCUAAUAUUAAGCGGUUCGAGAGUACUCCAAACCUCCAUACUGAAUGUUCAUCAGCCUAGUUGGCAUCACAGUAUUAUAUCACCUGAAGGUUCCAACUCACUGAUUACAUCAGCAUCUCCAAGAGUUUCCAAUAAUUUUUCCCAAAACCACAGAGUUUUCUAUCUCGCCAAAAAUUAUUAGGAUGAAUAAAUAAGACCAUCUCCAACAGUUAACAAUAAUCUACUCCUAAAAUAUAAAAAAUAAGUUUUACAUUAGGAAUCCUAUACUAUUUCUAAAUUAUCCAAACCACUUUUACAUAUUAUUUCUCUUUUUUAUAUUUGUAUCAGAAACCAUUUACUACUCUUUAUUAUUUCUCACAUCCUUCCACCUUUAUAGUGGCCGAUGGAUAUGCACGCGCGUGGUAGACGCGUGGAUAUAUUUGCGUGAUCGGUCUUUUUUCCAAGCAUGGAAGGAUUGGGAGGUGAGAUUGGGAACUAAUGGAGAUAGAUUUUUUCCAUUCUUGCCAAAAAUCUUAGAUUGGGAGGCUUUAUUGGGAACUCUUGGAGAUGCUCUAGGAAGCAAUGCUAGCACGAGCCAUAAACAUGCAAGUAUCGAUGUGGAGUCAAUAUGGCAAGAUAUUAGUCUUGCUAUACCUUAAUUGGAUAGCUAGAAUUAUUUACUCUUCCUCUUCUUUGCUUAGUCUAUAACCUAUGCCACCCUGUAAGCCCUAGAGCAAUAAGCCAUUCAAAUGGAGGACGGAUAUCAAUUCACUUGAAACUUUAUAUGGGCUAUGGUUUCAUUCACAUGUUCAUCGACCAAGUGCAGCGAGUGACAUGUGGGCCCCAUUUUCAAAAACCUCUCAUUGUGGCCCCAAGACUCUGCCAAUGAACUCGAGUUGAAUGGAAAGAAAUCACAAUGCCCCACACAACAAAGGGUGAUGGGUGGGCAUAGUGUGGAAGCAUCAUGCUGCAUAUUUAGGAGGUAGAGGUUAUGUGAAGUGGUGGUGUGCAUAGUGCGCAUGAGGGGUCUGGCAGGUAGGCUAGCUAGAGCAUAGUUGCACACUAGUGGCCAGUGGUAUGACCUAUCAAGAUGGAUAGGAAUAGAGUUAGCAAGUCUAAGGCCAGAUACAUAUGGCAAUUUGAAGUGUUUUUGUUUCCACUUUGAGUAUUUGAUUCAAAAUUAUUUUUCACAAAUUUCUCAUGCUCUUUGCUAUGUUAUCUACUGGCCCAUAGUUCAAAUUUAUUUUAUUUCCUUUACCACUGUGCAAGAAUUUGCUUUGUUAUCCACCUGCCAAAGUUUAGUUUGGAUGUAUGAUCUCUUGGAAGUCUUCAGGUCUAUUAAUUGAUGGUGAGGUUGGUUUCUUGGUCAAAUUACCUCAUGCUGGCAAGAUAUUUCCAUAGGGAUGCGCUCGGGCACAACAAGGCACACAAGUGUUGCUGAAUAUGGUGAUAAGGUGUGGAAAAGAUAUAAUUGGACACAUGCGAGUUGUCUAGACACAAUGCAUGGUUCACCAUGUCGAGGAGAUUUGAUACCGAAGAAAGGUGAUAUUUUCAUCGAUUAUGAGGAAGACAUCGAUGGACAACAUGACAACUCAUAUUGUAGGCAUGUGCGGCUUCUUGUGUUGCUCUGAUAGUUCCAAUGGCAUGAGACUAUGAUACAACCAGUGGGGCAAUAUGGGUGACAUGAUGAGUGGAAUAAGUGACAGCGUGGGGGAUGACGAUGCUAGGCAAGGGUGAUGUAUCAGUGAGGCCUGAUAGGUGAAAUGCAACUGAUGCCCUUGGCUAGAGUGGAUUGAGAGGGUAUGGGUGGUGGUGGGGGUGGAUCCAAGUAGGUUUAGGAAAUUAUAAAGGUUUCAUUCUUUUAGAGUAGUCCCAAUGAAUAACUACUUAGUAGUAACAUGGCAUAUAGACACCAAGUAAGAAAUUAUAGCUCACAACAGUGCACAAUCUCUAAUUGUGGCUACAAUGUAAAUUCUCCAAUCAUCUUUUUCAUGUUUCUCCUCCAAUCAUCUUCCUCCCCACUCCCAUAUUCUGCCUUGUUAUUUGUAAUACCAAUUCCAAUAGAUUUCAUGUUGUUUCUUGAACUUUGGUUCUAGUCGAAGGCCUAGUUUCUUGCAAGACACCCAAUUUCUUUAUGUUCUCAUCUCUAUCAUGUUUAAUGUUGUUGGCACCUCAGCAAAAUGUCCAACAUGGCAUCAUAUUAAAUGGCAUGAAAAUUAUCCUCUUCAUAGAAUAAGGACAGCCCUUGGUCGAUUUAGACUAAAUUUAGAAUUGGUUUUCAAUUUGAGUUAGGUUUGUACCAUCAAGAGUACAUUUCACACACACAAUUCAUGAAAGCACAUAAAUGCAUAUUCACUACCGGAAUCCGCAUCUUUGCCGAGUGUUAAAUACUUUGCUGAGUGUUUAUUUUUGGGCACUCGGCAAAGAAACUCUUUGCCGAGUGUCAAAAAAAAACACUCGGCAAAGACUUCUUUGCCGAGUGUCAAAAAAUAAACACUCGGCAAAGAAAAUUUUAAAUCGAAUUUUAAAGCCCUAAACGAAUUCAAAUCAAAAAGUUUUUAACUACAAAGUUGUAUAACUUCUCAAGAUCUACAACAUUUAUUUUGAUCAUUUCUUCAUUUGACAAAGCAAAAAUAAAUUUGUUUACAAAUUUUACAUCUCUCUCUUAUAGUUUAUGAAAUUACAAGAGAGAUAUAUAAAGAUUUUAGAAAAAUAUUAGAAUCUCCAUGUCGGAUAAAUAUAUGACAAAAUAACCAAAAUAAACUCUGUAGAUCUUGAGAAGUUAUGAAAUUUUGUAUUUGACAACUUUUUCAUUUGAGUUCAUCUUGUCAUGCAAAACCACGUUUUUAAUUGAAAAUUUUAAAAUUUGAAUUUUUUAAACAACCUCGGAUGGAAAAGAUCUCUAAAUAAACUUUGUAGAUCUCAAAAAGUUAUGAAACUUUGUAGUUGACAACUUUUUGUUUUGGAAUCAUCUUGUCAUGCAAAAACUACGUUUGAAUUUCUUAAAUUUAAAAUUCAAAAUUUGUAAACAACCUCGGAUGGAGAAACUUCCUAAAUAAAAAUUGUAGAUCCUAAAAAGUUAUGAAACUUUGUAGUUGACAACUUUUUGAUUUGAAAUCAUUUAGGACCUUAAAUAAUCAUUCUACACAUAAUUUGGUAUAAUAUUUGAGGAACCGAAAUACAAUACAAGCACAAGUCAUAGUGUGGUGCAGUGGUUAAGAGGGAGUACGCACAAGCAAGAGGUCACGAGUUCGAAUUCCAUAAACCGCGAAGAUCCAAAAAAUUCCAGAACUUAGCUGGCAAGAAGAGGCCGUUGGGAGCUGGAAAAAAAGAUUUUUUUUUCUCUUUUUUUUCGGAUUUUUUUGGUUUUUUUUGAAUUUUUUCGUUUUUAUCUUUGCCGAGUGUUUUUAGGCCUUUGCCGAGUGCCACGGACACUCGGCAAAGCGUGAGUGUCCCGUAGUGAUUGUUGUGUUUAAUGUAGUUUUUCCAACGUUUAUAGAAUUUCAAAUUGGCUCCUUUUAACGUGGUUUCAAUUCUAUUUGCGCCAAAUUGAAUUGAUUGAUUUAGGCCUUGUUUAGUUCCCAGAAAAUUUUGCAAAAUUUUUCACAUUCCCCGUCACAUCGAAUCUUUAGGCGCAUGCAUGGAGUAUUAAAUAUAGAUAAAAAUAAAAACUAAUUGCACAGUUUAGUCGGAAUUGACGAGACGAAUCUUUUGAGCCUAGUUAGUCCAGAUUAGACAAUAUUUGUCAAUACAAACGAAAGUGCUACAGUGUCGAUUUCCCAAAAUUUUUUGGAACUAAACAAGGCCUUAAGGAUUUCACACUUACAAGUACAUCCUGAUUCAACAAGUUGAAAGACAGAUCAAGAGCCAGAGCUACCACAACGGUAGUUUCCAGUUGCCUGUAAUGCCACUGAUGAUAUCUCAAAUUUGCUAGGGUAUCUAGCGUUCGAUCCACGAUCAAAUAUAGGCUGUUUGUGUAGAUAUUAAAAUGAAGAGAAAGGGAAUAUAGAUCGAUCCAUCAGAGAAGCAUUGAAGCAGUGCAAUAGAUAUAUGUCAGCAAGUUGGCCGUAAAGCAAAUGCAAGGCCGCAAGGGCAAGGGCGGCAUUGGUAGUUAAUAUAUACUGCCACAAACAGGUGCAUAUAUAAAUUAGGUUUUGAAUAAGCUACAGAUAGAUGCGCGUUAUAUAUACUGCAUUGUAGCAAAAAAGGUUAGUCGUCGUAAUAGCUAGGGCACGUACGAGCAUAAGAAGAAUUAUUGCAAAAAAGCAAAGCGGAGAGGGAGAGCUAGCUACACUGCAGAUCGAUAGGCAGCGCAUGCAGCAGCAGCCUCUGCUCCUUACUACGGCCUUGUUUAGUUCACCCCGAAAUCCAAAAAGUUUUCAAGAUUCUCCGUCACAUCGAAUCUUGUGGCACAUGCAUGAAGGAUUAAAUUUAUACGAAAACAAAAACUAAUUACAUAAUUUGUCUGUAAAUCGCGAGACGAAUCUUUUGAUCCUAGUUAGUUUAUAAUUGGAUAAUAUUUGUCAAAUAAAAUCGAAAGUGCUGCAGUAGCGAAAUCCGAAAUUUUUUCAGAACUAAACAAGGCCUACGUUUUAUUGCUCUUGAAUCUCGACGCAUGGACGAAGCAGCAGCAGCCUCCUCUGCUUGACUUGAAUGGUACUGUACGUACCACAGCAGCUCCACUCAGCUGGAUGAUCAUGCAUCAUGCAGCUAUGGCCGUGGAUUCGUCGUCUCGGUAUCCACGCUAGCUGCUAGAGAUUCUUCGGCUUCUUUAUUUGAUGCAUGCAGCAGCAUUCGCUUUGAUAGAGAAAGAUCGAUAGGUCAGAGGGCUCUGGAGAGGAAUGGGAGGGGACAGCAUGCUACAGACAUGAAGCUUAGCUUGCCACCUAGUAUGUAGUGUAGGCCGGCCGGGAACCCAACUUCCAUGCAUGCGUGCAUCGUGCGUGAAUCCAUGACGGGUCACUAGCGCUUUGCAGCAAGCUCAGAUGCUCACGUACUUGUACGGCCUUGUUUACUUCCCAAAAAAUUUUACAAAAUUUUUCAUAUUUCCCGUCACAUCGAAUCUUUAGACGCAUGUAUGGAGUAUUAAAUAUAGACGAAACUAAAAACUAAUUGCAUAGUUUAGUCGGAAUUGAUGGGACGGAUCUUUUGAGCCUAGUUAAUCUAUGAUUGGACAAUAUUUUUCACAAACAAACAAAAGUACUACAGUACCUGUUUUGCAAAAUUUUUUGGAACUAAACAAGGCCGCAUGGACGUCGUCGGACGACACUGCAGACACAGUAGUAUCCUGCAGGAGGAGCAUUCCAUCCCACUCCAGUAUUCACCCCUUGGAUCGAAAUACCUGCAGGCUGCAGCAAUGCAUGGGAGAAAGUGUAGUUGCAUGCUCUCCGGUCUCUACUGGUAGUACGCAAGAAGUAACUUGCAUGGCGCCAAAUGACAAGCUAGUGUGAAGAGCUUUGUCUGCAGCAAAUUAUAUUACUGUAUUUAUCUAGCGAAAUAUUGAGAAUCAAAAUCUUAGCAACUAGUUUAUUAUAUUCAACCCAAAACCGCAAAUAUAUGCACAUGCAUAUUAUUAUUAAUUAAUCAUGCAUGCAUGCACAAUCUCUCUCGAUCUCUCUCCUGUCUAGCUAGUAUAAGGCCCUGUUUAGUUCCCCACCUAAAAAUUUUUCAUCCAUCCCAUCGAAUCUUUAGACACAUGCAUUGAACAUUAAAUGUAGAUAAAAAAAAAAUAAACUAAUUACACAGUUUAGUUGAGAAUCGCGAGACGAAUCUUUUAAGCCUAGUUACUCCAUGAUUAGCCUUAAGUGCUACAGUAACCCACAUAUGCUAAUGAUAGAUUAAUUAUGCUUAAUAAAUUUGUCUUGCAGUUUCCUGACGAGCAAUGUAAUUUAUUUUUUUAUUAGUUUCUAAAAACCUCUCCCGACAUCCUUCCGACAUAUCCGAUGUGACACUCAAAAAAUUUUCAUCCCCAAUCUAAACAAGCCCUAAAUAUGGUAUAGGUCAGAAAAAAAACAAAAGAGCAAGAAGAGAACAAAAUGAAGAUAUACUCACAUAGUUUCCUCCCUCUCCCUCAUCAUAACCUUAUGAUGUGAUGUCCAAUCAGCACCUUAUCAUAAUGUGGUGCCCAAUCAGCAGUCUACAUCAUAUCGGCACAACAAGGGUUGUGUUACAGGGCAUAUAUGAGCUGAGUGUCUCAUUCCCCGGCCCCCAUCCUCUCUCUCUCUCUCUCUCUCUCUCUCUCUACACAAUGGCCGUACUAGCAGGCAGACAAACAUUGAAACGGUUCUGUCCAUAGUAAAAAGGAAAGAGGUUUGAAGAGGAAAUUCAAGAGAAUGAAUGCAUUCAAGUUUUCCAUGAAUGCAAUGCCAGUGGCUAGGGACAGCAGUGCGCAAUAACGUGUCCUCCCAUCCUGUCCCUCCCUCUCUCUCUUCUAUUCCCUUCUGCGCAUUCAAGUAGUAGUAUCUAUCUUGCCCUCUUCCAAAUAAGAUAUCUGUAAAGAUUUAUCUGCAUGUAAGGGCUUCCAAAUCCCCACUAGUAUACAUAUAUAUGACCAUACUAAUUAAUAAAAUGUGACGUCUCACACAUGCAAGUGUUAUGCAUUUUAAUAUCUCUAUGAUGCCAUUUUAGCUGUCGACUAUUUCAUCUCACUACCAUUGUAACCUCCAACAUGGUUCACUUCACUACUACUAUACAUAUAUGAUUUUUACAAACACGUCCUAAUUUUUUGAGGGGGUGCUUAACUUAGCAAACCAUUCCUAACUAGUUCCGAGAGCAUUGUAGCUUACAAAUAAACUAUCCAUGGAAAUAUAUUUUCAGGGCCACUCUUAUAUAUCCAUUUUCAGGGGCACUCUUAUAUUUCCAUAUGGAUGAAUCUGAUGUAGGCAAGAGCAAGCUAAAGAGGGUGAAAACAGUACAUUAGAACACAAAAUACUUCUUCAGGCCAUUCACAUUUCAAUUGUUGGCUCGGCCUUUCUGUUCUGUCGUAGAUCGUUUCUCCCUUUGUGGAAGAACCAAAGUUGAUGCCAAACCGAGUGAAUUAAGCCAAUAGUGAAGCCACAAUGUGUCCACAUCUGAUUGUUAACACGCCAGAUGGAGCUAGCAGUGUACAGUACUUACAAAUGAGAUGUGUGUGUGUGUGUGUGUGUGGGUGGGGGGGGGGGGGGGGUGUUGUGGAAGGUAGUCAGCAUGAAACCAUUUUUUUGAACAAGAAAUUCAUGAUCAUAUUUAUACAAAAGAACUUUCAAAUUUGAAUGCGAUGUGUUGUACGUCUUCUAAUACAAAAUCUACUACACACUUGGCUAUCUUUUUGAUAUAAUAUCGCAAGAUUUGAAUCUUUGAAUGUGUGUGUCCAUGCUUUAUAAAAGAGAAAUAGGGAGCAAUGUGUAUGGAUAAACUUUUCAAAAACUAUACCAAAUUAGGAGAAAUUAUGUGACUUUAUCUAUGAAGAAAUAGACACCAAAAUUCACAUGAACAAGGACUUGAUUGAACCCCAGUGGUCUCUAGGCUUAUUACAUCCACACUCUCAACUAACUAGGUUAGCUACACUCUCAACUAACUAGGUUAGCUAGGAUGUUUGUAAAUGUAAUAAAAAAUGUGUAAAUAUCCUCAUUUAAGUUUAGUAGGAUGGAAUAUCUGUGCAUGCAUGCAAUUUACAUGAGCUCUCUCCCAGCAUGGAACUAUAUCUCUUUCUAAACUUAAUAAUAAAGAGUGAAAUUCUUUUCUUCAGUCUCUCACUCUCUCCUCCAUCCACCCGCCCCUCAUGUAGUCUCUCUUUUACUCACUGUCACCCUUCUUGCUUUGAGUUGGAGGUGCAAAACUUCCGUUGGUGCCACACCACUCAUGUAAUGGUCUAGCCGUCGGAGCCAUUCAUGUUGCGGCAUGCGUGUGAAUGGUGUGGUUCACUUUCCACCUUUUUAUCAACUUACUACAAGUGAAGCACACACAAUAAGGACAUAUUUAAGUUGAUUUAAUCCUCUCUGUCAUUUAUCAGACAAGAUUAAUUCCUGUUUUAUUACAACAUUAACAUUUAUAAUGGGCAUUAGAAUAUGUUGGGCUCCAAUAUAAUUAAACCCAACAAAAAUAUCUAACUCAUUAUCAUCGCCACAAAACGGCACAAUAAUUGUACAUUCCACUGCAAUGGUCAUGCUUGUUAGUAUCCCAAAGAAAGCCAAAGCUAGCAACCCUAAUUAACAUGCAACUUUUUUCUCUCCAUACAAAUUUAUAUUAACCUGCUGUUAGUUCAAAAGUUUGCAUCAACUUUUUUUUCACAUAGCUAGCCAGCUUUUACUUGUGGCAGAGCUUGUAAUUUAACUCUGUGCGCGACCACCGCCAAUUUAUUUCCCAUGGUCAGUAGUAAGACUGUAGCUAGCACUGGUGCCGUUGGUCAAAGAGGAUCACUGCAAAGCUCUGGCCGUUUUGAUGUGCACCAAUUUGUCUCUCACACGCUCCCUUUCUCUGUCGGCCCGCCUUCAUUCAUCUCUCGCUCAUUACUGCAUGCAUAUAUGCGUUGUUGCUUUCACAUACGAUCGACCAUUGGAUCGGCAGCUGCGCAUGCAUGGCUGUCCAUGAUGCUCCCUAGCCCUAGCAGCUAGCUAGCUAGCUAGCUGGCUCUAUAUAACUGGAGGAUCUAGCCAGCUCCAGCUUCCAUCCCAGUCCCAUCCUCGUCCUAGCAAACCUCAAAGACAUAGACUAUACGAACACACGGCAUUUGGCAGCUGAUAGAUCGAGUUGUGUGUGUGCGUGUGUGGGAGAUUGCCUGCGAGCUACAUACAUCAGUAUCUGCAGUAUGUCUAUCUAGCUAUAUUUCCCAGCAAUAUUUUUAGCUCAUGACAGGCUCUGCUGAUCGUUGCAUAUAUGAUUUGCAGGUAGCUAGCUAGAACAACUUCUUAGAACACAUAUAUAGCUAGCUGUCGUCGUUCUGCAGUUAGCACACACACAACCAAGCUACCUAGGAUCGAGAUAGCUAGAGGCGUUGAAUCCAUUGAUCGAAUCGCGAUCCGAUCCAUCCGAGCUAGCAUUAGCAAUAGCAUCGCCGUCCACAUGCCGCAGACACCUUCGACCCGCUGGUGCCCGACGCCGGAGCAGCUGAUGAUCCUGGAGGAGAUGUACCGGAGCGGCGUGAGGACGCCCAACGCGGCGGAGAUCCAGCAGAUCACGGCGCACCUGGCCUACUACGGCCGCAUCGAGGGCAAGAACGUCUUCUACUGGUUCCAGAACCACAAGGCCCGCGAGCGCCAGCGCCUCCGCCGCCGCCUCUGUGCCCGACACCAGCAGCAGUACGCUCAGCAGCAGCAGCAGCAGGCCACCGCAGCAGCGCCGUCUUCGAGCCCUCUUCCGUCUCCAGCAGCAGGCGGCAGCAGCGCUGGUGUGCAUCCGGCGGUGAUGCAGCUGCACCAGCACCACCACCCAUACGCAACCAACUUCGUGCCACACCUGGUUAGGAAUUUUAAUUGUUCACGUUCCAGUAUUAUUCUAGCUAAGAAUCUUCAAAGUAUCAAUUUUAAUUUUGCAGAAGCUUGCUAUAAUUGCAUGCUUGAUAAUGUAUCUAUAUGUCCAUAUGUUAAUCAAUCGAUUAUUAGGGCUACUUGGGACAGCAGGCGGCGACUGUUCCGCCAGUGCUGAACCCAGCUGCUGCCGGCAUGGUGGACCUUGCAGCUGCAGGAGCAGGAGCAGGAAAUAAGGCUACUGGUGCAGGUGGUGGCUAUGGAGGUGGAGCUGCCUUAUACAACAGCUGCAGCAGCAAUCAGCUGGAGGAGUGGGACCCCGCUGAGGCCAUGGAGCACUGCAACGCUAGCUGCGGUGCCGCAUCGGGCAGCUCCGACGAGGGUGGCGCAGCUCAUCUCCAGCUGCCGCCAUGCUGCCGCCGCCCUCUCAAGACCUUGGACCUGUUCCCCACUAAGAGCACUGGGCUCAAGGACGAGUGCAGCAGCUCCAAGUCCUCCUCUUGCUCCACAUCCACCAACUAAUUAAUCAUUAUUAUUGAAUCCCUUUAGUUUCUAUAUAUCUUGCUUCUAGUAGUUCUUUGAUUUGCUAGCUAGCUAGCUAGAGUUAGUAGAUUUGGUCUUCUCAAGUGUGCCAUUAUAUUGUUGUGUUGUGUGUGCUCGCAAAAAAAUUGUUGUGUUGUGUGUCACGCUACCUCUACUUUGCUUGUUAGUGUAACUACGUUUAAGUUUCAGUGCUCGACUUCAAUCUAUGUGUAUCUAUCUUAAUUCAUGCAAUGGAUUUGUUUUAGCAGACUGUGACCUAUAUGCUCCAUUUACUCAAUAGCGAUGAGCGAAUGAACGGAUCGGAUGACUUAUAAUAUAUGGCUAUAUAUGGUUUACCUUCUUCCUCUUCUCUAGUGAUGAUUCCUUUAUUAUUGAGAGUAUAUAAAGUCUAGUCGUUAUCUUCUCCUAAAGUUAAUUGCAAUGUGAAGGGAUGAAGACUAAGAAAUUGCCACAUCAACUCAGAUUAUUCAUGCAACUCCAUAAGCAUGCACUGGACAAUGAUUUUUUUGAGUCAAGAGUGUAUGUGAAUAAAUCCCCACACACCACAACAUUUCAAAGGAAAAAAAAGACUUGCCACUUGCAUGGGAGUGCUAAUCAUUCCUUUGAAUAAGAAAUACAUUUUAUUAGGAUGUGGGAGUUCUAAUCAUUAUUUUGAAUCAACCAUACAUCACCAAAAGCGGCAUUUCUCAAUUAUCAGGACUCAAGGAUGUAAGGAUGUGCUUCAGUCUCCCACCAAAUUUCAGAAUAUUUUGACAAAAUUUGAGUAUUCCUUCCAAAUUUUCAUAUGAUCGUAAAAUUUAUCCACAUACUUUCAAAUUUCUAAAGCUCUAAUAAUUUUAUUAAUACAAAUAUUAUUUUCGCAAUUGUUUCAAAUGAAAACAAAAUAAUGCCACUCCAUUAGCCUUGGUCGAUUUUAGUCCAUUUUGUUCCAUCCUCCGUCAUACCUUGUUUCAGCCCAUGCACCUUCUCAUUCCUUCACGGCUGAAAUGAGACAGGAGAGAGGAGGUAAAGAAAUUGGUUGAAAUCAGCACAAUGCUAAGGUAUUUUAUUUAUUUUUGAUUAAAAAUAAUUACUUCUUGAGCUCUAAAACGUAUAAGAACAUUUCAAAGUACAUUUAGGACAUGAAUAACUUGGAAAGUAUGCAUGUGCAACCAUGAUUACUAAGAAGAAUAAACAAUCCACCAUUCAUGACUCUGUUUAAUAGAUUUACAUAUCAAUGUAAAUUCUAUAAAUAAUUUAGUAAUUUAUUAUUUUUUAUGUUGCAGAAGACAUGUGUUUAUAGUUAGCACUGAUUUCUUGCAGCGACAAUUUACAUAAGAAACCAGCUCUAACUAGAAUAGGGAGCACCGUAGCUCAUGGUCACUUCAAAUCCAUUUGUAGGGGUAGUUUCUUUAAGAAAACUGUACCCUAAAAAAUAAUUUCUAGGUCUUAUGAGUGAAACAACGCUAGAAAUUUCUAGGGGUGUUUCUCUUAAUAGAACUGCCCCUAAAAAAUAAUUUAGAGGACUAGUCCAUUAUCUUAGUGAACCAUCCCUGAAAACUUCAUAUAAAUCCUCCUUUCUUCCUUGCAACAACUCUAUAUAUCACUAGGAGGCGGUGAUGCUUAAGUACUAGUUUUUUUUGACAACAUACAUGUUGAUAUUGUGGAUUGCUUGUUUUGGGAUGCCAUUUCAAUUUUUUCAGUAUCUUUUCUGUCUUAGCAGAAAGUUAGGAGAUCUUCAAUAGCAGUUGUAUGAAUAGCUAUGUUGUUAAGAAAUUGUUCCAACAAGAUGAGAUCAUCAUUCCUUCUCAAAGUUAAAGUCAAAAAUUCUCCCAGAGAGGAUAGAAAUACAUAUAAUAUUUUAGGAUCUGUUGGAUAAAGCACAACUCAUAAAAACUUACUAGAAAAGCAAGCCCAUGAGCUUGAACUUGAAAUUAUGGUUUGAACAGCACAACUCAUAGAUUAAAUUUCUAGAUUGCAUUAAGAAUUACAACUUUGGUACAGGCCAUGUUGACAUCCGAUGUUGAUUGAAAAUUCUAAACUAUAAAUUUCAAAAUUUGAGAGCUACAAACAAACUUUCUUAGACUCUAAAUAGUUUCAGUAAAAAGUUAUCAUAUAUGAAGUGGUAGAUUACGUCAAGCCCUGUAAUUUUGCUAUAAAGCUCAUCUUCAUCCAACUUCAUAUUAAAAAGUUUUAAGUUUUGUCAAACAAUAAUUUCUAAAUAUGGGCCACUUAAGAGUGCUACAUCAAUUAAUUGAUCUCUACAGCUGGCAUUAUUAGGAAGCUACUAUGUGAAAAUAACCAAUGAUAGGUGUGUGUUUGCCUAGGGACUCUAUGUACAUCUCAGUUAAUCAUGGCAUAUAUCUUCUAAAAUUACUUUGUAGUAAUGCUCGUGGUGUUGUUUCACUGAUGUUGUCUAGCAUAUGGGCUGGUUUGACCCUCUUGCAAUGGUUCAUCACUCGAGCUAGUCAUUUGUCUAGGGUGGACCAUGGAAUAUGGUGAAUUGGUGAGUGAUUUUUCUAGAUAUAAAGGAAACUUUAGUUUGAGAUGAAACAUUAUUGUGACCUCUGCUUAAGCUAGCUAUACACAACUAAAAUAAAAGAAUAAAAAUGAUAACAUGCAAGAAGAGUUUGACUCCACUAUUCUCUAAGCAAACUUAGAAUCUCAUACUCAACAUCCAGCUCAAACCACCAAUAUAACAAAUCUACAAUCUAACUUUUGAGAAAUUAAAGCUUAACAUCUUUGCAUCUAUUUGAAUGUAACAUGAAGUGAGGUGGUCAAAGUCCACAAAAGCUUUAUCAUCCUCUUGCAAAAGAAGUUGAUAUGCAUCAAAAGCAUCUCACAUGUAUAUGAAGUCCACUAGGUGUCCUCUAUUAACUAACCAACCAACAUGUAGCACAUGACUAGCAAUCACAAAUGAUGACUGAUAUGACUAGACAAAAUGAUCGUCAUUCAAUUGAGCCAUAGUUAGCUUCUUUCACAAGCCACAACAAUUUGGACUAUCUGCACAUGUGCUCAAGAUACCACUAGGAGAAGAUGUGUUGCUAAUAACACCUAAGGUCUCUCCCAAUGCAACACUUCCCUUGAGGAAAAGACAUCCAAGGAUAUCAUCAUUGCAUGACCGAUUGAAAGUUAUAGAGUUUUCUCUUAGAGACAUCCACACCCAAGUAGGAUUGUGAACACAUUAUGGAGAUGUGUCAUGUGUGUGAUGAAUGAUUGACACAAAUAUGAGAGGUUUGAGGCUUUCUUUGCUGAGUCAUAUUUCAUAUGUACUUGAUUAUGUUAAUGGUUAACCAGAGGUGUAUAGUGUGUUGUGUUUUGUUGUGCAACAUGUCUCUUGGCUUGUAAUGUGUAAGUGCUGAGAGCGCCAAGACGGUCGACAACAAUAGAGAAGGUCAAGUGUAAAGUCCAUGUGUGAUUGGUCGGGAGUGGUGAAGGACGGAUGAGAAGGCAUGGAUCAAGGGACUAGAGGCUAGAGGACAGACAAUGUGCAACUUACACUAGGCACAUGAAGAGCAAUAGUACAUGGGGAGACAACAUCAACCAAGUCAAGGAGGAGGAUGGUGUUGUGGCACUUGGCAAAGGUCAAACACGCAUCUACAUGGGUGAUGGACAUGGUGUCAGUCAAGUCAAUAAGGAAGGCAAAGGAAAGAGCUUGGCGGAGGUUGAACACAUGUUGAAAAAUCAUGGAGUCAUGCUUGGUGAGGUGUGCAUGAGGGUUUGCUAGUUUUGUCCUCAAAACUAGGGAUGGAGAGUUUGCUUGUUUGGACCUUGUUGAUAUUUCUUAACAUCAAGUUGUCAUCCCUAGCAAUGAUGCCAUAAAUGUCUUAUUGGUAUUUAUUCGUUUUCACUUGUAAUUGAGGAAACAUUAAAGUAAUCCGCAAGCACACAAAUUAUAUAUCAUUGUAGCAUUUCACCCAGGAGUAUUCCAUGUAUCGUUAUUUAUAUUUUUACCACAGGGAAUGACGGGCAAAGAAAUUAUAUUGAUAACUAAUAUUCUACUCACAACAUGGGUAAGAUAGAAAAUAAGAUAUAUAAAAGGCAAUGAUCAUUGACAAUAAAUAGUUAAUCACUCAGAGCACUCCUUUCUAUGGCAUUAGCAUGACUAAGUAGAUAUUAGAGAGACAAUUCCUAAGUCAUCCUUAAUUACAAUUCAAUGCAUAUGAUGAUUAGUGCAACUACACUUAGUAGUCAUGGAUAAGAUCAACUUUAUAUCUACACAUAAGGGAUAUUACUAAGGAAGAUUAAGAAUAGGGCAUGUCUUCCUUUGUAACUAGAUCCUACUUGUUGACCUAUAUUCGGGGAGUGGACUACAUAGGACUCAACAGGAGUGUCACAUCCGUGAUGUAAAAUAUAGGGUGUAUCCAUUGGUAAACAAUGUAUAAGCACCACGCUUACAUAAUAUCGACCACUCACACCAUGAUCAUUAGUGUGAGUGCUAUAUGAACUUAUGCUUGAAUAAAAUGAUCAUCUAGCUAUACUAAGUAUAUAAUCAAAGUAGACAAUGAACAUGAUAAUUAGGAACAUGAAUGAUAUUAAGAACAAUAUCAUACCAAUUGUAGCAAACAUAAAAAAGUAAUGAGACAUACAAAAGAGAGGGGGUACAAAGGCUAUACCAAGCCACACUCUUGACACGAUCAGGAAUCUAGGCAAAGCUUGCAUCUCUCUAGAUCUAACCUAGCUAGGUAUGCCCUAGAAUAUGGUGUAGUUUUGAGGAUUAGGGUUUCUGCCUUCUGCUUCUAACUUGAAUGGCUUGAAUGCCUGAGAGAGGGGGUAGGGGCUAUUAGAUAUACCCCAGAGCAUCAAUUCUUAGCUCUCAGAUCGUACAGACUUGAAAGAACAAUGUAGAUGCAACCUAGGAGGUGGUGGAGAACUGACAUAACAAGAUAGAGUCCGAUAGGUGGGCCUAGAGGUUGGCGAAGCUUAGAUGGGACUAGCCGACCCCACCUAGAGGUGUCUCACUAUCUUCUUUGGUGGUUUGGCUUCUGGUGUCCUCUGGAACCUUCUAGAGUUCCACCUUGACGGUUUUCUAGAUAUCCCUAUAGAAAAUACAUUCACCAAACUCUUGGAAUUUGUUAGUUUAAACCCCUAAGUCUAUGUUGGUGAUUAUUUUCAUGCAUUCUCCAAGUUAUAUUAAUAGUUUAUAAUGGUUGUUGACUACCAUCAAUAGACCUCAAAGCCAUCAGAGGAGGGUUUGCUAGUUUGGGACUCAAAACCAGGCAUGCAUGGUUGGAUGGUUUGUGCCUCAAACCAUCAGCGACGGAUUUGACUGGUUUGAGCCUCAAAAUAGGGGAGUGGAGGAUCAAUGGACAUGUGGUGGAGUCUCAAAAGCUGGCUUCAAGGCAGAGCAGAGUCGACAAGGCAUCAGGUCUAUUACUCUAUGUAAUACCCGAUUUUAAGGAUAAAACCACAUAUGCACCAUAUGCGAGUUUUAUAAGGCAAAUCUCACAUAUAGUUACAAAUAAGGGGUAAUAUCAAAAGACAAUGCAUAAAACAUAUAACGUACAUAAUAUAAAAGAGAUAACCUUUGAUAGCAAACAGCGGAUAUACAACUCUAAACUUCAGGUAUUAACUCUUCUCCACAGGAUCCAACUGACUGGUUGAUCACAAGCCCAAAACUUCUCCUGAGGUGUGGGGAAAAUUGCAAGAGUGAGCACAUAUCGUACUCAACAAGUAUAACCAGGGGUUCAUGAGGCUCAGUUAGCUGACACUGGUUUAACUGCAUUUAGCUUUUAUAUGUAGAUAGCAUAUUUAAUCAUUGGAUAGCAAAUAUCAAGGUAGCAUAUUAAAUCCCAUAACCACAUGAUCAAUGUAUACAAGAAUUAAGAAUAACACAAAUAAACAACAUAAUAAACCAUCAUUUAUUAUCAUUAAUCAUGUUCAUCAGUGUCCAUCUAUUCCGUCAGUUUUCCGGGCCGCCCGUAUCCGUGGGCACGACUAGUAUACCAGAUUUAACACUCUUCAGAGGUUGUACAUCUUUACCCAUGAGUCAUGAUUUACCCUUUCGCCCGAGGCCCGUCGACCUCUUAGCUCACUUUCAAGGAAAGCCGGCAGGGUUCACUAUGAAGUCUUUCAAAGGUUCGUCUAACAAGUUAGGACCGCAAGGUUUCCUUUGCGCGCAAAUAUAGAUACCCCCCUUCCAAAUGGCACAAUGACGCGCAGCCUAUACACAUAAGGACAGGGGCUCGCACUAUACCCAAAACGGUUCAGCCCCUCCGCCCUUUCGGGUAACCUCUAACAAGCUAGAAAAGCUUACUCAUACUUGACUAAAGCCAGAGCCAUAUAGCCCUCAUGGUUGUACGAGUUGUCUCAGCUUUUGCCAAGGGAUAAGUCCUUAUGGAGGGUCAAGAUCAAUCCAGCAAAAGCCAGAGUUCUUUCCACCCUUUAUGUUCAAGUUGCUAGAAAGCUUAUUUUAUCGUUUAUGGUAUAUUCAAAUAUUCAUGUUACAAGAUCAUGGAUUAAUAAUCAAGCACUAGCAAGAACUACCCAAAUACAUAUCCAAAUAGGUAACAAGGAAUUCAUGAUAAUAAUCAUCUAUGAUUUUACUAGGGUCAUCAAGGUGGACACAUGCAUAUGAUAAAUGUUAUAUUAAUUGUGUAUAGGUAACAAGGAUAGUCCCAAGUUAUACUUGUCUUGAUCAAAGCUCUCCUGAGCCUGCUGCUGGUCGUCAAAAGCUUGACCUUGAUCACCAACUUAUCACUCACCGUCUAUACUCGAUCAUCGAUCAACAACACGCAAUCCAAUGUAGACAAUCAUACACGAAGCAAACAAGCUAUAAUUAGAACAAUACACCAAACAUUGGUAAAAUAAAUAUAAAAGUUUACCAAAAUAUUCUACGCAGCGCUACGAUCACACAAACAUAAAGUUCACGAAAAUCGGAAUUAAAACGGUGAAGUUAUGAAUUUUCCAGGAUUUUCUAUAGAUAAAUAAUUAAUUAAAUGCUACUGCAAAAUUAAAAAGUUUCAAAAUAGAGAAUAAAUACUUCUAACAUGUAGAGCUCGUAAAUACGCGAAAUUUGAAUGGAUGAAAACGGAGUUAAAAUGAGUAUUUUAUGACCAAAUCAAUUUCAAUGGCAAAACUGUAAAUAACAGAAAACGUAAUCUGCCUAAGCCGAACCAGAAUACGUUUUUAAACGGAGAAAGCGUAUUCUGCGCAAGCCGCCAAGGACUGCGGAGUAAAUACUGAAAAGUUUCAGGGAUUCUUUAUGAAGUUUCGCAGCGAAGGGGUAUGCUUUGUUUUGGGCCCUUGAUCCCAAAACGGAUGGCUGGCAGACGAUCUGGGGAAGAGAGGGGGGGGGGGCGGCGACGACUGGCCGGAACAGUCUUCCACGGCGGCGCCAUUGGAGCGCCUCGCCGGAGCUCGCGCUGAGGCAAUUUCUAGCACCAGGGAACAAGGGAAAAGCAUCAGGGGGUGGAGGAGCUCACCACGAAUCCUCCUAGGGACUUCACUUGGGCCGAGAGGGAGCAGGGAGAGCUCACCGCGGCGCCGUUUGGAUUAGAGCUCAGCGAGAUCUAACUGAGCGUCGGGAAGGAGCUAAAACCGAUCUCGGUCCUUUGUAGAUGGAAAAAGGAAUGCGUUGAGGGAAAGCCAAGGCUAAAUAGGGCUCGGGAAAAUCAAAUCCCAUGGAAACCGGGAUUUGAGGCAGAGCCUUCUUCGGCUUGGAGCCUUGGAGUCCCAGCCGCCCACGGUUCACGGAAGAAGAAAAGGGAAUGGAGGAGGAAGACGAUGUCGCGUGGGGCCCAGUCGUCAGCGAGAGAGAGAGCGGGUCCCAGUUGACAGCGGAACAGAGGAAAGGUGUAACACCCAAAAUUUGAUUUUCAAAUAAUAGGAUUUAAUUUAAUUUAUUUAAGUACUUUUGUGGGCAUAGAAAUCUAGCAACUAAAUAAUUGUGUGGGAAUUAAAAUUCAGUAUAGGUUUAGCAACCUUGAUUGAGCAUUCAUGCUGGAGCAUCUUUAUUUAUUUGUGCUGCUGGUAUAUGUUGGAUUUUAUUUGCUCUCAAAAUUUGAUUUUAAAAGGCUUUGGAAAAUUAAAAAAAAAAGAAAAAAAAAACAGCCGGACUCGGCUUGGUGGCCAAUUGGCCGUGAGGCCCAAACUGGCCAGCAGCGCGCGCACUCCCUCCCUCUCCCUCCUUUCUUUGGCUGACGGUUGGGGCCCCCACGUCAGCGCCCUUUCCUUCUUCCUCCCUGCCGUGCUCGAGCAGGAAACGAUUCCUCACCGAAUCGGAUCCGCGGAUCCCGCGAUUUCCUUGCCAAGCGCGCAAUCCGACCACUAUAAAGCUUCUAGCAUCGCUCCCUCGACAUGUUUUCGCAUCUAGGUCGCCAAAACCGAGUCCCCGUGCCUUGUUUCGCGAGUUCUGGAUCUCGCCGGGAGCUCUUUCCGCCGCCGCGCGUGGACACGCCCCUCUGCUAGCUCUCGGCCCGAGCCAAGCCCCCAGCUUCGUUCGCGGUGAGCUUCUCGCCCUCCCGGUAUUUUCCUUUCAAAAAACGGUGCUCGGAAAGGAGAAGCCGAGGAGCUCCGGCGAGUUUUCGCUCUCCGGCCAUGGCGGCCACCGCAUCGGACAGGGAGAGGCCAGCCGGCCACCGCCAAGGACCCCAGGAGCAGCUCGUGACCAUCCAACCGACGAUCAACGGCCGAGAUUAGAACAUACCUGUUCGCAGGGAAUUUUCAUAAAGAGUCCCUGGAAAGAGUGGUUAAUUACCCCGCGGUCCCUGGCGCCCUGGCACAGAUUACGUUUCCUUUGAUUGAAAGCGUAUUCCUGUCUGUUCAACUUGGUUUAUGUUUUCAGCUAAUUACAGAACUGCCACUGAACUUAGAUAGCUUAUAAAAUAUUCAUUUUAACUCUGUUUUUGUCCAUUCAAAUUGCGUUAGGUUCGUAAUUAUAUGCUCUACAUGAUAGAACUAUUUAUUCUCUGUUUUGAAACUUUUUAAUUUUCUGGUACUAUUUAAUUAAUUAUUUCUCUAUAGGAAAUCUUAGAAAAUUCAUAUCUUUCACGUUUUAAUUCCGAUUUUCGUGAACUUUACGUUUGUGUGAUCGUAGCGCUGCGUAGAAUAUUUUGAUAAACUUUUAUAUUUGUUUUACCACUGUUUGGUGUAAUGUUCUAAUUAUACCUUGUUUGCUUUGUGUAUGAUUGUCUCCAUUGGAUUGCGUGUUGUUGAUUGAUGUUUGGGAAUAGACGGUGAGCUGUACGUUGGUGAUCAAGACCAAGCUUUUGAGGACCAGCAGGCUCAGGAGAGCUUUGAGCAAGGCAAGUAUAACUUGGGACCAUCCUUGUUACCUAUUCACUUAUAACUACAUAUAUAUAUCAUAUGCAUGCUACCACCUUGAUGACCGUAGCAAAAUCAUAGCUGAUUGUUAUCCUGAAUUCCUUGUUACCUAUUUGGAUAUGCAUUUGGGUAGUUCUUGCUAGUGCUUGAUUAAUAAUCCAUGAUCUUGUAACAUGAAUAUUUGAAUAUACAAUAAACAAUAAAGUAAGCUUUCUAGCAACUUGAAUAUAAAGGGUGGAAAGAACUCUAGCUUUUGCUGGAUUGAUCUUGACCCUCCAUAAGGACUUAUCCCUUGGCAAAAGCUGGGACAACUCGUACAACCAUGAGGGCUAUAUGGCUCUGGCUUUAGUCAAGUAUGAGUAAGCUUUUCUAGCUUGUUAGAGGUUACCCGAAAGGGCGGAGGGGCUGAACCGUUUUGGGUAUAGUGCGAGCCCCUGUCCUUAUGUGUAUAGGCUGCGCGUCAUUGUGCCAUUCGGAAGGGGGGUAUCUAUAUCUGCGCGCAAAGGAAACCUUGCGGCCCUAACUUGUUAGACGAACCUUUGAAAGACUUCAUAGUGAACCCUGCCGGCUUUCCUUGGAAGUGAGCUAAGAGGUCGACGGGCCUCGGGCGAAAGGGUAAAUCAUGACUCAUGGGUAAAGAUGUACAACCUCUGCAGAGUGUUAAAUCUGGUAUACUAGCCGUGCCCACGGAUACGGGCGGCCCGGAAAACUGACGGAAUAGAUGGACACUAAUGAAUAUGACUAAUGAUAAUAAAUGAUGGUUUAUUAUGUUGUUUAUAUGUGUUAUUCUUAAUUCUUGUAUACAUUGAUCAUGUGGUUAUGGGAUUUAAUUAUGCUACCUUGACAUUUGCUAUCCAAUGAUUAAAUAUGCUAUCAACUAUUAAAAGCUAAAUGCAGUCAAACCAGUGUCAGCUAUUUGAGCCUCAUGAACCCCUGGUUAUACUUGUUGAGUACGAUAUGUGCUCACUCUUGCAAUUUCCCAACACCUCAGGAUAUGAUAAUGAAGGUGACUGGAAUGAGGAUUAUCGUUAUGAGUACUAGGUUUGGAGUCAACCAGUCAACAGUGUCCCUGUGUGGAGCUUCCGUCGAGAGCGUUGUUUAAUAUUAUUAUCAUUUUUGUGUAAGACUAUGUGAUUUAUUAUGUUCCGCUAUGUAAUAAACACUGCAAUGGUACAAUUGAGAUUUGUCUACUUAUGUGUGCGACUAUUCCUGGGGCACAUAUGAGUCUUUUAUGCAUCCUAUUUUGUUCUUAAAAUAUGGGUGUGACAAAUUGGUAUCAAAGCUUUGUUGACUGUAGGACGCAAACCUAGUUAGCAAAGGGUCAAAAAUUUAGGUCCUUACUUUACUUACUUCAUGCUUCCCACUAUGGUCUUGUUAUUUGCUAAAAGUUUAUGCUUCUCUAUCUUGCUCUAUUGUGAAAUUAUUGCAUCCAUCUGAUCUAUGUCUAAAAACUUUUUGUAGAUGCCGCCUCGUACCCGCAGUGCUGCACGCAUGGCUGCUGAGGAGUACCGUGCCAUGUUCAACCUAGGAGGACAACGUGUGGAUGGAGUUCCUGAGCUGGAGGAUGAGGAAUCAAGGGUGGAAGCUCAGGAGGAAGGACCUGAGGAUGAGGAGAUGCAAGAUCUACCUCCACCACAGUCUGCUAAUGCAAGGAUGGGAUGGACUACUGAGCUGUGGAUUCCAGAAGCAGAUCCCAAGGCCUUCUUCCAUGAGAAUUUGGUGUUAACAUUGAAACACCAUUACCCGGAUUUGCAAGCCACACUGGAGUAUAACUGCACUGAGCACAAACACCCGCUGAGGAGAUCACUUUGGGUUGCAGAGCUGAUAGUCAAGACACUGGAUGCCACCAAGGGGAUUCGAAAGGUGGAAUCAAAACACAUCGCUCGAAUCAGCCGGGACACGAUGAGAGAGAGCAUGGCAGAUGCAGCUUACCAGGCCUUGGUCUUUUACCGUGGUAGACGUUUUGAGGAUGUUCAGUAUAAUGCAACAUACCACUAUCCUCGCUUUGUACCAGAGAAGAUGACUUGGGCCAUAGAAGUUGCAGAUGCUUCACAACCAAAGCUUCAAGCACAAGUGGAGUUGACUUAUGAGCUGACACUCAAGGUGAUAGAGUUGGAGAAUGAACUACACCGUGAGAGGAAGCUGUUGGAGAAAGAGCAAAGGGAAGCGGAUGACCUUCGAGCGGAGUUAGGCCGCCCCAAACUUCAUAAGAGGCUGCAUGUUGAACCCAUCUUGAAGGAUGCUGCACCCGAGGAAUAGAAAAGAACCCAUAUGUAAUAGGAACGUUAGUAGUUUACGAGUAUUUCGAGUCUUUUGCUAUUGUGGCAUGAACUUGGUGUGCUUGCUGAUUUGUUAUUAUGAAUAUGUGUGAUUUGGAUUUUUGUAAUGAGUGCUGGGACUUUGUGGGCAUGUCCACAAGUUCCCUAGUUAAGAACCUUAAGUAAGAACAUGAAUAAAUAGUGGGUUGGGGUCAUAUCCUGUUUCUGUCUUUUGCUGUUUUCUGGAGCAGUCUGCAAUGAUUCUGGAAUAAAUCAAAUUCUGCUCGUGCAAUGUUCAUCAAAUUUUUCUGGGAAAAAGUAGACUUUCAUAUAUUUCCAAUGCCGCCAGAAUGACCAUAUUAUCUAUUAUGAGCUGUGAGUUAUGACUGUUUAAAGUUGAGGUUUCUGCGCAGUCUGGAAUUCUGGAACAGUUUCGGUUGUACCCAGUUUUUGGUUAACCUCACGUUGGAAUCUGGUAAUAUGACCUAAAUGAAAGUUGUAGACAAUUUCUUUAUCUUUCCAACGAUGUACAGCAUGUAUCCUUUUGAAUUCUGGAACUCGAGAUAUUACUGAUUUUCUGAUCUGCUGAUGUUGGAUGUUACCCAGAAAAUUUCAGACUCAGUUAACUCUUGUAAUUGUCAUGUUGGACAUUACUAAGAUGUGUUUAUAUACCUUGGAAUGCAGAUGGCAGCAAGGGGAAGAGGCAGAGGCAGAGGCCGUGGCAAUGGCAAUGACAAUGGCAAUGGUGGCAAUGCCCCAAUCACCGUGGAGGAACUCAUGCAAACCCAAAAUCAGAUGAUGCACGUUUUCAUGCAGCACCUGCAGCAACAACCUCCACCAACACCACCACCUGUUCAUGUGAGGGACAAGCGUGGAGAGUUUAUGAAGGGAAGACCUCCGGUAUUUACACACUCAGCUGAUCCCAUGGAGGCAGAUGAUUGGUUACGUGCUGUGGAGAGGCAGCUAAACAUAGCACAGUGCAAUGACUUGGAGAAGGUGUUGUAUGCUUCUGGACAGCUUCAAGGUGCAGCUCAGACAUGGUGGGAGUCGUAUCAAGCUGCUCGUCCCAACAAUGCUCCUCCUGUCACAUGGCUGGAAUUCUGUAGGGACUUCAGAGCUCGACACAUAAAUGAGGGAAUGAUGGAGCUCAAACAGGAAGAAUUCAGAUCACUCCGGAUGGGCUCCAUGACAGUGGCAGAAUAUCAUGACACGUUUGAACAGUUGGCUCGCUAUGCCCCGAAUGAAGUCAGGGAAGAUGCUGAUAAGCAACGCUUGUUCAUGAAAGGCUUGUACUAUGAACUCAGGUUGCAGUUGGCAGGAAACACUUAUCCUACCUUUCAAGCUCUUGUGAAUCGUGCUAUCGUGCUUGAUAAUAUGCGGAAGAGUCAGGAUAAGAAGAGAAGGAUGCUGGUACAAGGAUCUGGGAGCAACAACCGUCAGCGUUUCAGUUCUCAUCAAGGCCAUCAGCAGAGGUUCCAGGGACCAGUUAGUCAGUGGAACCGUAACCAGCAACCCCAGCGUUUCCAGAAUCAGUCGCAGAGUGGGAACCAACGUCCUUCAUUCCAACAACGUAACUACAAUCAACAGCAGCAUGGUCAGCAGACACCUCGCUCAGGAAACUCAAAUGCCAACUCCACAAAAAGAAGUGCUUCUAACACUCCUACCAGGUGUUUCCGUUGUGGGAAAGAGGGACACAUGUCAUAUGAUUGCCCGGAGAAGCUCAACAAGCCGAACAACAACCAGAAGUCUACUGCUUAUGCGGCAACAGUGAAUAAUGUGGCUACAGAGACAGUUCAGGAGGGACCAGAGAUCAUGAUGGGUACGUUCAGCAUCAACUCUAUCCCUGCUACAGUUUUAUUUGAUUCUGGAGCUUCGCAUACAUUCAUAUCACAAGCAUUUGUUAGAGUUCAUAGCCUUCCACUAGUUGCAAUGAAAACUCCUAUGCUAGUUAAUUCACCGGGUGGGACUAUACCAGUUUCUUUAUGUUGCCCCUCAGCAAGUCUUUCUUUAAGGGGGGUAGAUUUUCCUAUCAGUCCCAUGGUUAUGAGAACUUCAGGCAUAGAUGUGAUCUUGGGUUUGGAUUGGAUGAAGCAACAUGAAACAAAUAUUAAUUGCAAAGAGAGAGUAGUGGCUCUGACAACACCAAAGGGAGAACGAAUCAGUGUUAAUGUAACAGUGCAAGCACCACUCACAGCCAAGGUGAACCAACUGAAUGAAGAUGUUGAUCCUCAGAAUUUGGUAGUGGAUGAGUUUCCGGAUGUCUUUCCAGAUGAAUUGCCAGGUAUGCCACCUGACCGAGACAUUGAAUUUAUUAUUGAAUUACUACCUGGUACUGCACCCAUAGCUAAAAGACCAUAUAGAAUGGGGGUUAAUGAACUAGAAGAACUUAAGAAACAAAUUAAGGAAUUGCAAGAUAAAGGGUUCAUUCGCCCUAGUUCAUCACCAUGGGGUGCACCAGUUAUCUUUGUUGAUAAGAAGGAUGGUAGUCAGCGGAUGUGUGUGGAUUAUCGGUCACUUAAUGAGGUUACUAUCAAGAACAAAUACCCAUUGCCUAGGAUUGAUGACUUGUUUGAUCAACUAAGAGGUGCUUGUGUGUUCUCUAAGAUUGAUUUGCGUUCUGGUUAUCAUCAAUUGAAGAUUCGGAAUUCAGAUAUACCAAAGACAGCUUUCACAACAAGGUAUGGGUUAUAUGAGUAUACAGUUAUGUCUUUUGGUUUGACCAAUGCACCAGCUUACUUUAUGUACAUGAUGAAUAAAGUAUUUAUGGAGUAUCUUGAUAAGUUCGUGGUGGUCUUUAUUGAUGAUAUUCUGGUAUUCUCUAAAACCAAGGAAGAACAUGCUGAACAUCUGAGAUUGGUCUUACAGAAACUUAGAGAACAUAAGCUGUAUGCUAAGCGUAGUAAAUGCGAGUUUUGGUUGGAGGAAGUUUCUUUUCUUGGUCAUGUUGUCUCUAAUGGUGGUAUUGCAGUGGAUCCUAGUAAGGUGAAAGAUGUGUUGAAUUGGAAACCACCUACAGAUGUAAGCGAAAUUCGCAGUUUUCUUGGUCUAGCUGGUUACUAUCGUAGAUUCAUUGAAGGGUUCUCAAAACUUGCAAAGCCUAUGACUGCUUUGUUAGAGAAGAAUGCUAAGUUUGUAUGGUCUGAUAAGUGUCAAGCUAGUUUUGAGGAGUUUAAGAAGAGAUUGACUACUGCACCUGUGUUGGUAUUGCCAGAUCUGAGUAAGAGUUUCUCUAUCUAUUGUGAUGCUUCUCGUCUGGGUUUGGGUUGUGUUCUUAUGCAAGAAGGUAGAGUUGUUGCUUAUGCAUCCAGACAGUUGAGGAAACAUGAACUGAAUUAUCCUACUCAUGAUUUGGAGUUAGCAGCUGUGGUUCAUGCACUCAAGAUUUGGAGACACUAUUUGAUUGGGCAUAAAAGUGACAUAUAUACUGAUCAUAAGAGUUUGAAGUAUAUCUUCACCCAGACCGACUUGAACUUGAGGCAACGAAGAUGGUUGGAACUGAUAAAGGAUUAUGAUUUGGAAGUGCAUUAUCAUCCUGGGAAGGCGAACGUCGUAGCCGAUGCACUUAGCAGAAAGAAACAUGCUAAUGAGCUUCGGGCGACACCUGAAUCUGAAGAGUUGUGUGCUGAAUUUGCAUAUUUGAACUUGGGAAUCGUAGUAAAUGCUAUGGAGAUUGAGGUCACUCCUACUCUAGAGGAAGAGAUAUUGAAAGGACAGUUGGAAGAUGAGAAACUGAAGGAGAUAGCACAGAAUGUGGUACUAGGAAAAGCACCAGGAUUCAGAAUAGAUGACAAUGGUGUACUAUGGUUUGGAAAAAGGAUAUGCGUUCCAGAAGUGAAGGCUAUUCGUGAUAUGAUUCUGAGAGAGGCUCAUGAGUCAGCAUAUUCCAUUCAUCCUGGUAGUACUAAGAUGUAUCUAGAUCUGAAACAGAAGUACUGGUGGUAUGGCUUAAAGAGAGAUGUGGCCGAAUAUGUUGCUUUGUGUGAUACUUGUCAGCGAGUGAAGGCUGAACACCAGAGGCCAGCUGGACUAUUGCAACCAAUGAAGAUUCCUGAGUGGAAGUGGGAAGAAGUAGGCAUGGAUUUUAUAGUGGGUUUACCUCGUACACAGAGAGGAUAUGAUUCAAUAUGGGUAAUAGUGGAUCGAUUGACUAAAGUUGCUCACUUCUUGCCAGUCAAAACCACUAAUUCAGGAGCUCGACUAGCAGAGUUGUAUAUGGAGCGGAUAGUUUGUUUGCAUGGAGUGCCUAAGAAGAUUGUAUCUGAUAGAGGCACUCAGUUUACCUCUAUUUUUUGGAAAGCAGUGCAUGACUCAUUGGGAACCAAGUUGAAUUUCAGUACCGCGUAUCAUCCACAGACAGAUGGACAGACUGAGAGGAUCAAUCAGAUAUUGGAAGAUAUGUUGAGAGCUUGUGCCUUGCAGUAUGGGACUAGUUGGGAUAAGAGUUUGCCAUAUGCAGAAUUCUCCUACAACAACAGCUAUCAACAAAGUCUUAAGAUGGCACCGUUCGAGGCACUAUAUGGUCGGAAGUGCAGGACACCUUUGUUUUGGAAUCAGACAGGAGAAACUCAGGUGUUUGGUACGGAUGUGCUUAGACAUGCAGAACAACAAGUGCGAACCAUCCGGGAUAAUCUGAGAGUUGCUCAGUCUCGUCAGAAAAGUUAUGCAGAUACACGUAGGAGAGAACUAGCUUUCGAGGAAGGUGAUUAUGUCUAUCUAAAAGUGUCACCUAUGCGGAGUGUGAAGAGGUUUAAUAUGAAGGGAAAGCUAGCUCCAAGGUAUGUUGGUCCGUUUAAAGUUUUGCAAAGGUGUGGAGAAGUAGCGUAUCAGUUAGAGUUGCCUGAAAGUUUAUCUGGCGUGCACGAUGUGUUCCAUGUGUCACAACUCAAGAAGUGUUUGCGUGUACCUGAGGAGCAAUUACCAUUGGAAGAACUUUCUGUUAAAGGUGAUCUCACUUAUGAGGAGUAUCCGGUCAAAAUAUUGGAGACAGCUGAGAGAGUCACCAGAAGUCGGGUCAUCAGAAUGUGCAAAGUACAGUGGAAUCGACAUUCGGAAGCAGAGGCAACUUGGGAAAGAGAGGAUGAUCUGAGGAAGUCAUACUCAUAUCUAUUCGAGUAAGCACCGUUCAAUCUCGAGGACGAGAUUCUUUUAAGGGGGGUAGAGUUUGUAACACCCAAAAUUUGAUUUUCAAAUAAUAGGAUUUAAUUUAAUUUAUUUAAGUACUUUUGUGGGCAUAGAAAUCUAGCAACUAAAUAAUUGUGUGGGAAUUAAAAUUCAGUAUAGGUUUAGCAACCUUGAUUGAGCAUUCAUGCUGGAGCAUCUUUAUUUAUUUGUGCUGCUGGUAUAUGUUGGAUUUUAUUUGCUCUCAAAAUUUGAUUUUAAAAGGCUUUGGAAAAUUAAAAAAAAAAAGAAAAAAAAAACAGCCGGACUCGGCUUGGUGGCCAAUUGGCCGUGAGGCCCAAACUGGCCAGCAGCGCGCGCACUCCCUCCCUCUCCCUCCUUUCUUUGGCUGACGGUUGGGGCCCCCACGUCAGCGCCCUUUCCUUCUUCCUCCCUGCCGUGCUCGAGCAGGAAACGAUUCCUCACCGAAUCGGAUCCGCGGAUCCCGCGAUUUCCUUGCCAAGCGCGCAAUCCGACCACUAUAAAGCUUCUAGCAUCGCUCCCUCGACAUGUUUUCGCAUCUAGGUCGCCAAAACCGAGUCCCCGUGCCUUGUUUCGCGAGUUCUGGAUCUCGCCGGGAGCUCUUUCCGCCGCCGCGCGUGGACACGCCCCUCUGCUAGCUCUCGGCCCGAGCCAAGCCCCCAGCUUCGUUCGCGGUGAGCUUCUCGCCCUCCCGGUAUUUUCCUUUCAAAAAACGGUGCUCGGAAAGGAGAAGCCGAGGAGCUCCGGCGAGUUUUCGCUCUCCGGCCAUGGCGGCCACCGCAUCGGACAGGGAGAGGCCAGCCGGCCACCGCCAAGGACCCCAGGAGCAGCUCGUGACCAUCCAACCGACGAUCAACGGCCGAGAUUAGAACAUACCUGUUCGCAGGGAAUUUUCAUAAAGAGUCCCUGGAAAGAGUGGUUAAUUACCCCGCGGUCCCUGGCGCCCUGGCACAGAUUACGUUUCCUUUGAUUGAAAGCGUAUUCCUGUCUGUUCAACUUGGUUUAUGUUUUCAGCUAAUUACAGAACUGCCACUGAACUUAGAUAGCUUAUAAAAUAUUCAUUUUAACUCUGUUUUUGUCCAUUCAAAUUGCGUUAGGUUCAUAAUUAUAUGCUCUACAUGAUAGAACUAUUUAUUCUCUGUUUUGAAACUUUUUAAUUUUCUGGUACUAUUUAAUUAAUUAUUUCUCUAUAGGAAAUCUUAGAAAAUUCAUAUCUUUCACGUUUUAAUUCCGAUUUUCGUGAACUUUACGUUUGUGUGAUCGUAGCGCUGCGUAGAAUAUUUUGAUAAACUUUUAUAUUUGUUUUACCACUGUUUGGUGUAAUGUUCUAAUUAUACCUUGUUUGCUUUGUGUAUGAUUGUCUCCAUUGGAUUGCGUGUUGUUGAUUGAUGUUUGGGAAUAGACGGUGAGCUGUACGUUGGUGAUCAAGACCAAGCUUUUGAGGACCAGCAGGCUCAGGAGAGCUUUGAGCAAGGCAAGUAUAACUUGGGACCAUCCUUGUUACCUAUUCACUUAUAACUACAUAUAUAUAUCAUAUGCAUGCUACCACCUUGAUGACCGUAGCAAAAUCAUAGCUGAUUGUUAUCCUGAAUUCCUUGUUACCUAUUUGGAUAUGCAUUUGGGUAGUUCUUGCUAGUGCUUGAUUAAUAAUCCAUGAUCUUGUAACAUGAAUAUUUGAAUAUACAAUAAACAAUAAAGUAAGCUUUCUAGCAACUUGAAUAUAAAGGGUGGAAAGAACUCUAGCUUUUGCUGGAUUGAUCUUGACCCUCCAUAAGGACUUAUCCCUUGGCAAAAGCUGGGACAACUCGUACAACCAUGAGGGCUAUAUGGCUCUGGCUUUAGUCAAGUAUGAGUAAGCUUUUCUAGCUUGUUAGAGGUUACCCGAAAGGGCGGAGGGGCUGAACCGUUUUGGGUAUAGUGCGAGCCCCUGUCCUUAUGUGUAUAGGCUGCGCGUCAUUGUGCCAUUCGGAAGGGGGGUAUCUAUAUCUGCGCGCAAAGGAAACCUUGCGGCCCUAACUUGUUAGACGAACCUUUGAAAGACUUCAUAGUGAACCCUGCCGGCUUUCCUUGGAAGUGAGCUAAGAGGUCGACGGGCCUCGGGCGAAAGGGUAAAUCAUGACUCAUGGGUAAAGAUGUACAACCUCUGCAGAGUGUUAAAUCUGGUAUACUAGCCGUGCCCACGGAUACGGGCGGCCCGGAAAACUGACGGAAUAGAUGGACACUAAUGAAUAUGACUAAUGAUAAUAAAUGAUGGUUUAUUAUGUUGUUUAUAUGUGUUAUUCUUAAUUCUUGUAUACAUUGAUCAUGUGGUUAUGGGAUUUAAUUAUGCUACCUUGACAUUUGCUAUCCAAUGAUUAAAUAUGCUAUCAACUAUUAAAAGCUAAAUGCAGUCAAACCAGUGUCAGCUAUUUGAGCCUCAUGAACCCCUGGUUAUACUUGUUGAGUACGAUAUGUGCUCACUCUUGCAAUUUCCCAACACCUCAGGAUAUGAUAAUGAAGGUGACUGGAAUGAGGAUUAUCGUUAUGAGUACUAGGUUUGGAGUCAACCAGUCAACAGUGUCCCUGUGUGGAGCUUCCGUCGAGAGCGUUGUUUAAUAUUAUUAUCAUUUUUGUGUAAGACUAUGUGAUUUAUUAUGUUCCGCUAUGUAAUAAACACUGCAAUGGUACAAUUGAGAUUUGUCUACUUAUGUGUGCGACUAUUCCUGGGGCACAUAUGAGUCUUUUAUGCAUCCUAUUUUGUUCUUAAAAUAUGGGUGUGACAAAAGGAGGGGGGGGGGGGGGCGGCGCCGGAGCUGGGCCGGGGUGCGAUCGAAAAGAAAAAAGAAAAAGGGGAGAGAAGCUGGGCCGCACGUGCUGGGCCUGAGAGGGGAAACUGGGCUGCGGGUGGGAGGAUGGGGUGGCGCCAAACAGAAGGGGUUUUAAUUCGCUUCUUUUUUUAUUCUUUUAUUUCAAAGCUAUUUCAAAACAGUUUAAAACAAUUUUGAACUUUGCUCAAAAUCACACAGUACAAAAAUAUAAAUGCUCCAGCAUGGGUGCACAUACAUGUUACUAAAUCCUAUAAUGAGUUUUGAUUUAAUGAAAUAUUAUUUUUCCUAUAUUUUCAUGAGCACAAACAUACCCAAUUAAAUCAUUUUUCACCUAAUUUAAAAAGAGCAAAUUUUUAGGGUGUUACAAAUCUACCCCCUUAAAAUGAAUCUCGUCCUCGAGAUUCGGAAGAGGCACGGAUUCCAAAAGAGAAGCAUAAACAAGAUAUUGAUCACUAUUUCAACUUCACAACUUGUAUUCCAAAUGCAAGCACUUAUGUCUCGGGAUCACAACUUGUAAAUCAAGGUUUUCCGCAGAAUGUCUAUUAUUCAUAACUGAUUAAAGUCCAUCUUGACUACCAACUUUUUGUCUUACAACUCAAAGACAUGAUAACUUAGCAUGGAUAUGCCUCCUCAGGUAGGAGCGGACCACCUUGAUACUCAAUUCUUUACCCUGAUGGUGUGGUUAAGAAAAGUUUCCACUAGGUAGCAUAGAUCACUCCUUUGUGCGCACAUAACCAUCCAUUGACAAGAACCAAAGGAAUGUCGAGUGACUCUAGCACAAUGAGGUUUACAGUAAAGUUUUCCUUUUACACUUCCUUCGUUGUGGAUUCAGAUUUGAUUCAAUGUCAACUUGCUCUUCUAUAUUGUUAUUUUGAUAGUACUCAGCAUUGUCAUAAUCAUAACAUCUUUCUUCAAAGACAAGAUGAUCAUACUCUUCCCACAUAUCCAUGAGAGGUGUCAUAUUGUGGUCCUAAUCCAUGGGACACUACACUCCCCGUGACCAAUGUCAGUAACUCAGCAUAAAUCGUUGAUCGUAACCAUAGAAUAUCUCAGAAGACAAUUAUCACUUCAAAAUGCAUCAUCCUAUGAUAUCAGGGUACUACCCCCUUAAAAUGAGAUUGAUUGGGCACUACAAGAAAUGUAUGAUUUUUUGACAUAUUUAGUAUGACAAUAGACCGUGAUGUCAUUAUAUCAUCCAGAUUAUGACAUUAUGUAAUAGGCAUUUUGACCUAGUGACAUAAAAAAGUUGGAUGUCAUAAUAAAUGUCAUAGAACUAUUCUAAUUCCAUACCAUGUCUUUGCCACGUCAGCAUUAUCUUACGUGGCAUUUGCCAAAAUAGCACAAAAGAGACACCUUAUUCAGUGACUCGAAAUUGAAACACGUCACUAAUGUAAGAGCGAUGACGCAGAUAAAUAAAACAAGUCACUAGUUGGGAGUCAUCCCUGGCUAACAGACAAAAUGCAUGAUGCGUUCACAGCAACACGAGUCGCUGAUAAAGCAGGAUUGUUGGCAGUGACGCGUUCCUGCAACUCGUGUCUCAUAUCACCCUUCAUGGACCCGAAAAAAUAAUGAAAUCCGGUUAAAUGGUGGAAACUGAAGUCCGACACACCUUCCUCUCCCUCGCGUCUCUUCUCGGGCCAUCACCCUUUCUGGCCUUCUCUCUACUGCACCACAACACUAAUAUAGCGUCACACGUGUGUCGUUAUAAGUUCACUAAUACCAAUAAACUGUUGGCCGUUAUAGCUGGCCCACAGAUCAAAUGUCGGUAAAUGUAUCUAUUGCGUUAAACCAUCUGUCGAUAUAAAUAUUUGGCUGUAUAGUUGAACCAUCGGUCGAGAUAGAUAAACAAAGAGAACGAACAUUCGGUCAGUAUAGAGUGAUGCGUGCUUUGAAAAAGAAAAAAAGACAUGUUCCCUUUCAUGAGAAAAUAAAGAUGGGCCUUCAUGCUACCAGCCCAACUGAACACGACUCCCUCAACCCUAACCCCUAACCCCCACAUCCAGACUCCCCUCAGCCGCCACCCCACACCUCUCUCCGUCUCUUCUCUCGCCUCAAUACCACAGCUGCCGCUGCCGCUGCCGCUUGGCCUCUCUCCACCAUCGCCGGCCUUCUCCCGGCCUCCCUCUCGCUGAGCCUCCUCCUCGCCACCCUCGAACCGCCCUCCCCUUUCCCCUGCAAACCCUGCUCCUCCGCCCCUGCUUCCUCGUCGCCGCGGCGCACAUGCCGUCUCUCCAUGUUGUGCGCAUGUGUCCAUCCUAGUGCUUGGUGCAGCGGCUGUCUUCUUCGAGCACAUCCGCAAGAUCAGAUGCAUGCACUCGUAAGUCAGCUUCUGUGUUCCCGUGGUCAGGCGUUGGCGGCCAGAUCUACGGUAGCUCGGGCGAGGGCGGCCGGAUCCAUGGUGCCAUCUCCUGCGCCCCCCCACCAUGCCUUUGCGUUCAUCUCCAUGGCAGCAGAAGGCACACACAGGCACCACCGCCACUAAGCCCACCUGCGGAAUCUCCGAGAAGGUAGCAGCGAACCACUACCACAAGACUACGUCUGCCAUCCUCAUACAGGCAGCGUAGGUACUAAUCCCAAUCCCAGUCCCCCAUCUGAUCUCCAUUCCUAGAUGGAUCUGAUUUAUCCCUUUUCACAGUAGGUAGCUGAAUUGUAGCUGUCAAACACUCGUAACCUUGAGAUACAGGUGUUGGAUCUGAACUCAGUAGAAUGUUUCAGUCUACUCUUGGGAGGAUUUGGGCAAUUUACCCAUAUUGUUUUGCUACUAGAACAGUCUAAAUUAUUUAGAAAAAAUAUUAAGCCUAUUGACUAGGCCUUUUGCCCUAAUACAGAAAGUUUGUUUUUAACUCUACUAGUGGAACGCAUGACAUAUAACACUGCAGCAUUGGAUACAUGUAAACCUAGUAUGAUGCUGUGGUCCACUACUGUCUUGUUUAGAACAUAAGAGUGUGCCUAGGAAAAUAAUGAUGUAGUUUAAUUAGGCUGUUCUUCCGAGCAGAGACACUUAUGAGCCCAUGAGGGAAAAUUCUACUCCAAGGAUGCUGGCCACUCUCCCGUCAAUAUGUUCUCAUCAUGAGUAAAUGGCAGCAUUUGUGGUUAAUUCAUCAUGAUUAAAUGGCGGCAUUUGUGGUUAAUUUCGUUGACUACUUUCAGAUAACUAGAUUACUUUAGUGCCUCAUUAAGUCAUUAGUUGGUUAGCUAAUAAGCUUGAGUUAGUCCUAUAUUACAUGCAUAUCAAGUUAUUUUUAGUUCAGCAUUGUUGUGUGGCACAAACAUAUUUGUUUCAAUAUAUGCAGCCUUGGAUGUAGUCUGUUAUGCUAUUAGAGGGUUGCUCAAUAUAUGCAUUUGACUAUUUGUUUCACAUGUUAUACAGGUGAACAUUCCUAAGACCAAGAAGACCUACUGCAAGAACAAUGAGUGCUGGAAGCACACUCUGCACAAGGUGACUCAAUGCAAGAAGGGUGACGAUAGCCUAUCAGCACAAGGUGACUCUGCUAACUUUCUAAAUCUUUGUACUCCGUGGCAAGCUCACUAUAGUUCAUUUUCACUGGAGAGUUCAUUUUCUUUAACUGAACAUACAGAAUUGUUUACACAAUUCUUGUUUGAUGACUAUUAGCUAGUGAUCAUAUUCACUUCUUGCAGCUUAGUGGCUUCGAAAUUCCAUUACAGAAAUAGAAUUACAAUACCUGGAGGAAACCAUGAGAGCACACAAAUCAUUUUAGUGAGUUUACAUGUACUAGUAUUUGGAUUUUUUAUUUUGACUCAUAAUUACAGUUGUUAUAUAACCUGCUGAUGCUUCUGUGAGUUUACAUCAAUAUUUGGGCUGUCCUAGUGAUAAUACUGCUAGGUGCUAUUUUCAUAUUCAUUGACAGUAGAUUUUCAUACUAGUUAGUAUACAGUAUAGGCUACUAGCAGUAGCACUAUAACCUGUCUAGGAAGAUAUGUCAUGCUACUCUGUCUUUCUGAUAUCAUACAUAUGUAGACCAUAGUUUCUCUCUAAUUACUCAAACUCUGUAGGGAAUAGCUCAUAGCUACCGAGCUAGUUAUUAUUAAUAUUACUAGAAGUUGCUUCAAUCUUGUUAUGUUCUAUCUGAACAUAGGGUUUUCUUGCAUGUUAAUAAAAAACUUAAAAGUUACAUGGACCAAUCACCUCUAUGUAUGCAUAGAAAUAAUUUCCUAGAUACAUGGACCAAUCACCACUAUGUAUGCUAUGCACCUCUAGACUUGACAACUACUUCCUGUUUUGUAGAAAUUGAGCAAAAUGACAUUUCUUACAUUUAUGUCUUUAAUUAACUAUCUGUUGUAUUGUUGUAGCCUAGAAGCAGUUGGCCUACAUUGAGCUGAGAGGAAAGGAAGUAGCUAGAAGGUGGAUACUCUAUGUAAUUACUUACUGUGAAGUGUAAUGUGAUGUGUGAACUAAUCUGUGUACUUGAAGUGUGAACUAUCUAUACUGCUGUGAGAUGUACCAUAUUGUGAAACAUGGGAUUCAUGAAUGUACACCGUGGACCUAUUUUUUUUAUUUCUGUAAAUUGUUAUCAAAGACGCAUUUUGGCUAUAUGUGUCACUGCUAUCUUCACAAAAGUGACGUGCCCUUUCCACGUCACUAAUGACCCUCUGGACGUGUCACUAAUAUGCUUUUCUGGCAUAGUUAUUAUGACAAAUAACCAAUGUCAUACCUUAUGACAAAGAAUAUACAGAUGUCACAUGAUCCAUUUAUGACAGUGAUUUUUGGACAUAUAGUUUUUUGUCAACUAAUUGUCACAACUCUUAUAUUGUGACAUUAUUUUCAUAUGUAAUAACAUAAAUAGAAAGUCAAAAAAUCACAGGAUUCUUGUAGUGGGGGGACACUAGAGACUACUUCUCCUAUCCUUUCUAGACGCUACACAUCAUAUAGUCUUUUAAAUUUGCUGUACCGAGUCUCUUAAUCCAAGGUUAGUUUCAUCACUAAGUUCCAACUAUCGGUACCUUUAUCACAGUUAAGUUGCUCCACUCUCACACUAUACAUACAAAUCUGUAGACUUUGGUGUCAUCUGAUCCUCAUACACAACUCUUAAUCCAUGAGUAUCAGUAAUGACAUAAACCUCCAUUAGUAUUAGCACACUCCAAAUAGAAUGAUAUCUUGAAACAAACCAACAUACCAAGCACUUGAUGUACUUUAUAGAUGUUCCAGUCUUUAACCACUUCUUCUCCUUGUAGCUUCUUCAAUUGGGCUACCCCCCUUAAGGAAAGUCAACCAGGGGACACCAGAAAGGUAGCUUGCACGUUUCGAGAUAAGUUAACUAACAUUGAGAACCUCUGACGUACCAAAGAACUUAUGUGUAAGGGGAGAACAAACAAGUAUCCUGAAAUUUCCUCGUGAUAUGAAAACACCAGCGUAGUAAAAUAGGUAUAACUCUUAUUCUGUUAAUCCAAUAGAGUUGUAGCUUAUACCGUUAGAAAGAUUAUGAAAUUCACCACAACUUUCAUGUAGAAUACUUCCUCAGGUUCUGUCUUUAAACUUGAGUAAAACAGCCAAACUUAAUAUCCAUCCUAACACUGUCUCAGCAAAGGUGCAGUAACUUCCAGAAGUUAUAGCUCGAGCUACUUAACUCAUCUUGAGAUGAUCCUUACAUUUUUGAAAAGCUUAGGAAAUCCUCUACAACUUUCAUAUACAAUGUUUUUCCAGAUUCUGACUU